RNAcentral lists this ribosomal RNA (460 nucleotides) under uncultured bacterium. RNAcentral's name for it is "partial 16S ribosomal RNA". It matches the Rfam family "Bacterial small subunit ribosomal RNA", at positions 338 to 795 of the family's 1533-position model. The record is from RNAcentral.
CCUACGGGUGGCAGCAGUGAGGAAUAUUGGUCAAUGGGAGGAAUCCUGAACCAGCCAUGCCGCGUGCAGGAAGACGGCUCUACGAGUUGUAAACUGCUUUUGUACCAGGGUAAAAUGCUCUACGACUAGGGUUUUGAAAGUACGGUACGACUUAGGCUCCGCUAGCUCUGUUCCAGCAGACGCGCUAAUACGGAGGAUUCGAGCGUUAUCCUGAUUCAUUGGGUUUAAAGGGCGCGUAGGUGGUAUUAUAAGUUAGCGGUGAAAUACCGAGGCUCAACAUCGGGGCUGCCGCUGAUACUGUAGGACUAGAGAUUGGAUGCAGCAGGCGGAAUGUGUAGUGUAGCGGUGAAAUGCAUAGAUAUUACACAGAACACCGAUUGCGAAGGCAGCUUGCUAGGCCGGAUCUGACACUGAUGCACGAAAGCGUGGGGAUCGAACAGGAUUAGAUACCCGAGUAGUC